RNAcentral lists this ribosomal RNA (513 nucleotides) under uncultured bacterium. RNAcentral describes it as "bacterial SSU rRNA". It matches the Rfam family "Bacterial small subunit ribosomal RNA", at positions 336 to 864 of the family's 1533-position model. The record is from RNAcentral.
CUCCUACGGGAGGCAGCAGUAAGGAAUCUUCCACAAUGGGGGCAACCCUGAUGGAGCAAUACCGCGUGUAGGAUGAAGCGUUUCGGCGUGUAAACUACUUUUAUCACCGAAGAUUAUGACUGUAGGUGAAGAAUAAGGACCGGCUAACUACGUGCCAGCAGCCGCGGUAAUACGUAGGGUCCAAGCGUUAUCCGGAAUUACUGGGCGUAAAGCGUCUGUAGGCGGCUUUUCAAGUCGGGUGCGAAAUCUUGUGGCUCAACCAUAUAGAUGUUGCCCGAAACUGAUAUGCUAGAGGUAGGUAGAGGCAAGUGGAACUUGCGGUGUAGGAGUGACAUCCGUAGAUAUCGCAAAGAACACCAAUGGCGAAGGCAGCUUACUGGGCCUUACCUGACGCUCAGAGACGAAAGCGUGGGGAGCGAACGGGAUUAGAUACCCCGGUAGUCCACGCCGUAAACGAUGAUCACUAUGAGUAUGGAGAUUCGACCCUCUGUGCUCAGUAGCUAACGCGUUAAG